This is a non-coding RNA of Pangasius djambal, 73 nucleotides long. The record is from the annotation of a GenBank genome assembly. NCBI's taxonomy places the organism in Eukaryota, Metazoa, Chordata, Actinopteri, Siluriformes, Pangasiidae.
GGCAGUUGUGGCCUAAUGGUUAGAGAGUCGGGCUUGUAACCCGAAGGUCGUGGGUUCGAUUUUCAGUCUGGCA